GCGUGUAGGCUGGUUUUCCAGGCAAAUCCGGAAAAUCAAGGCUGAGGCGUGAUGACGAGGCACUACGGUGCUGAAGCAACAAAUGCCCUGCUUCCAGGAAAAGCCUCUAAGCAUCAGGUAACAUCAAAUCGUACCCCAAACCGACACAGGUGGUCAGGUAGAGAAUACCAAGGCGCUUGAGAGAACUCGGGUGAAGGAACUAGGCAAAAUGGUGCCGUAACUUCGGGAGAAGGCACGCUGAUAUGUAGGUGAAGUCCCUCGCGGAUGGAGCUGAAAUCAGUCGAAGAUACCAGCUGGCUGCAACUGUUUAUUAAAAACACAGCACUGUGCAAACACGAAAGUGGACGUAUACGGUGUGACGCCUGCCCGGUGCCGGAAGGUUAAUUGAUGGGGUCAGCGCAAGCGAAGCUCUUGAUCGAAGCCCCGGUAAACGGCGGCCGUAACUAUAACGGUCCUAAGGUAGCGAAAUUCCUUGUCGGGUAAGUUCCGACCUGCACGAAUGGCGUAAUGAUGGCCAGGCUGUCUCCACCCGAGACUCAGUGAAAUUGAACUCGCUGUGAAGAUGCAGUGUACCCGCGGCAAGACGGAAAGACCCCGUGAACCUUUACUAUAGCUUGACACUGAACAUUGAGCCUUGAUGUGUAGGAUAGGUGGGAGGCUUUGAAGUGUGGACGCCAGUCUGCAUGGAGCCGACCUUGAAAUACCACCCUUUAAUGUUUGAUGUUCUAACGUGGACCCGUGAUCCGGGUUGCGGACAGUGUCUGGUGGGUAGUUUGACUGGGGCGGUCUCCUCCUAAAGAGUAACGGAGGAGCACGAAGGUUGGCUAAUCCUGGUCGGACAUCAGGAGGUUAGUGCAAUGGCAUAAGCCAGCUUGACUGCGAGCGUGACGGCGCGAGCAGGUGCGAAAGCAGGUCAUAGUGAUCCGGUGGUUCUGAAUGGAAGGGCCAUCGCUCAACGGAUAAAAGGUACUCCGGGGAUAACAGGCUGAUACCGCCCAAGAGUUCAUAUCGACGGCGGUGUUUGGCACCUCGAUGUCGGCUCAUCACAUCCUGGGGCUGAAGUAGGUCCCAAGGGUAUGGCUGUUCGCCAUUUAAAGUGGUACGCGAGCUGGGUUUAGAACGUCGUGAGACAGUUCGGUCCCUAUCUGCCGUGGGCGCUGGAGAACUGAGGGGGGCUGCUCCUAGUACGAGAGGACCGGAGUGGACGCAUCACUGGUGUUCGGGUUGUCAUGCCAAUGGCACUGCCCGGUAGCUAAAUGCGGAAGAGAUAAGUGCUGAAAGCAUCUAAGCACGAAACUUGCCCCGAGAUGAGUUCUCCCUGACCCUUUAAGGGUCCUGAAGGAACGUUGAAGACGACGACGUUGAUAGGCCGGGUGUGUAAGCGCAGCGAUGCGUUGAGCUAACCGGUACUAAUGAACCGUGAGGCUUAACCUUACAACGCCGAAGGUGUUU
This 1452-nucleotide ribosomal RNA is filed under the name Escherichia coli. RNAcentral's name for it is "partial 23S ribosomal RNA". It matches the Rfam family "Bacterial large subunit ribosomal RNA", at positions 1516 to 2925 of the family's 2925-position model. Lineage: Bacteria; Pseudomonadati; Pseudomonadota; Gammaproteobacteria; Enterobacterales; Enterobacteriaceae. The record is from RNAcentral.